AGAGUUGUUCCAUACUUGCUUUUGAAACAGGCUCCCCGCAUAUUCCAGCGGUCAACUGUUUCGGAGCUUGUUUCUUUUGUGUCCCGCCAGAUGCUAAUAUUUAGCUCGGGCGGUGUGAUGAAUGCUUUGGUGCCUGUGUUGGCUACUUAUUAUGGGAAAAUGUUGGUUUUGUUACUACGGCAUGUCUUGUUGCCUUCGAUUAUGAUUUUCAUAAUGUUGCGUUGUGCAAUUGAAACAUCGGCUUUUAUUGGGAGCGAUUGAUGGGUCUUUGACUCGUCCGCAGCUCGCAUCAUAUUAUAUGAGCAGCUCUUUCGGAUACGGUGGCUAUGUGGGUACUUGCGGUCCUCUUUGCUCCGCAUGCGACCUUGUAGUACACUCGUAAAAGUUCAUCGUGCGGUUGGAUCUAGGGGCAUCUUUGYGUUCCUGUUUUUGCUCUCAUGCCGGAGCAAAGGCGGGGUGUGGGGAUGCAGAUGCUGGUUUACGGGGGCAUUGUUGUACGCGUGGGUGUUCUAUGAAUUAAUAGUGAUUGCCGUUGCGUGCGUGCGUAUUGGUAUCCCGUCCGGGAGUGCCUUAGCAAUUCGCAGGCUUCACU
Molecule: unclassified non-coding RNA, 592 nt
Filed under: Scleria pantadenia
Lineage: Eukaryota; Viridiplantae; Streptophyta; Magnoliopsida; Poales; Cyperaceae
Description: partial external transcribed spacer 1
Source: RNAcentral